This 216-nucleotide ribosomal RNA is filed under the name Glomeromycotina sp. RNAcentral's name for it is "partial small subunit ribosomal RNA". The stretch from base 40 to 216 matches the Rfam family "Eukaryotic small subunit ribosomal RNA", at positions 686 to 864 of the family's 1831-position model. The record is from RNAcentral. Lineage: Eukaryota; Fungi; Glomeromycota.
GGGUCAGUAGGUUGGUCGUGCCACCGGUACGUACUGGUCUCACUGAUUCCUCCUUCCUGAAGAACCGUAAUGCCAUUAAUUUGGUGUUGCGGGGAAACAGGACUGUUACUUUGAAAAAAUUAGAGUGUUUAAAGCAAGCUAACGCUUGAAUACAUUAGAAUGUAAUAAUGAAAUAGGACGAUCGAUCCUAUUUUGCUGGUUUCUAGGAUUGACGUA